Molecule: ribosomal RNA, 253 nt
Filed under: uncultured bacterium
Lineage: Bacteria
Description: partial 16S ribosomal RNA
Rfam family: Bacterial small subunit ribosomal RNA
Source: RNAcentral
UACGAAGGGGGCUAGCGUUGCUCGGAAUCACUGGGCGUAAAGCGCACGUAGGCGGCUUUUUAAGUCAGAGGUGAAAUCCUGGAGCUCAACUCCAGAACUGCCUUUGAUACUGGAGUGCUUGAGUCCGGGAGAGGUGAGUGGAACUGCGAGUGUAGAGGUGAAAUUCGUAGAUAUUCGCAAGAACACCAGUGGCGAAGGCGGCUCACUGGCCCGGUACUGACGCUGAGGUGCGAAAGCGUGGGGAGCAAACAGG